This 484-nucleotide ribosomal RNA is filed under the name uncultured bacterium. RNAcentral describes it as "partial 16S ribosomal RNA". It matches the Rfam family "Bacterial small subunit ribosomal RNA", at positions 30 to 507 of the family's 1533-position model. The record is from RNAcentral.
AUUGAACGCUGGCGGCAUGCUUUACACAUGCAAGUCGAACGGCAGCGCGGGCUUCGGCCUGGCGGCGAGUGGCGAACGGGUGAGUAAUACAUCGGAACGUGCCCAGUAGUGGGGGAUAGCUCGGCGAAAGCCGGAUUAAUACCGCAUCCGACCUGAUGGUGAAAGCGGGGGAUCUUCGGACCUCGCGCUAUUUGAUCGGCCGAUGGGAGAUUAGCUAGUUGGUGGGGUAAAGGCCUACCAAGGCGACGAUCUGUAGCUGGUCUGAGAGGACGACCAGCCACACUGGAACUGAGACACGGCCCAGACUCCUACGGGAGGCAGCAGUGGGGAAUUUUGGACAAUGGGCGAAAGCCUGAUCCAGCAAUGCCGCGUGUGUGAUGAAGGCCUUCGGGUUGUAAAGCACUUUUGGCGGGAAAGAAAAGGACUGUGCCAAUACCACGGUUCGAUGACGGUACCCGAAGAAUAAGCACCGGCUAACUACGUG